This 439-nucleotide ribosomal RNA is filed under the name uncultured bacterium. RNAcentral's name for it is "partial 16S ribosomal RNA". It matches the Rfam family "Bacterial small subunit ribosomal RNA", at positions 338 to 795 of the family's 1533-position model. The record is from RNAcentral.
CCUACGGGAGGCAGCAGUGGGGGAUAUUGCACAAUGGAGGAAACUCUGAUGCAGCGACGCCGCGUGAGGGAAGACGGUCUUCGGAUUGUAAACCUCUGUCUUUAGGGAAGAAAAUGACAGUACCUAAGGAGGAAGCUCCGGCUAACUAUGUGCCAGCAGCCGCGGUAAUACGUAGGGAGCGAGCGUUGUCCGGAGUUACUGGGUGUAAAGGGUGCGUAGACGGGAAAGAAAGUUGACUGUUAAAUCUACCGGCUUAACUGGGAGCUGCGUCCAAAACUUGUUGUCUUGAGUUAAGGAGAGGAAGGCGGAAUUCCUAGUGUAGCGGUGAAAUGCGUAGAUAUUAGGAGGAACACCAGUGGCGAAGGCGGCCUGCUGGGCUUUAACUGACGUUGAGGCUCGAAAGCGUGGGGAGCAAACAGGAUUAGAUACCCCUGUAGUC